CACUACCUAUGAUAUCCCAAUAUUUCCAUAAGAGAAAUAGAAGACCUUUAAUUAGUAUAUUUGAUGAGGACUAAAUCCUCCAUCAGCGUUGUACUUAACAAUAUCGAAAUAUCUCUCUCAAUUAUUACUAUUAUUAAAUAAAGCUAACCAGCACAGAUUUAAUUGAAGACGUGGGAUCAUAAAAGGAACUCGAAGCACCUGCACAGUAAAGAGAACCCGAAGCACUUGCGCAGCCGAGAAAUAAUGGAGCUUCCGGCACAGUCAAGCCAACACAGGCGACUCAAAACCAAAGUUAAUGUAAUAAGGGGCUUAGGCCCAAUUAUCUAAAGAAUGGGCCUAAAGGCCUUAGGGCUUACUCUCAUACCUAUAAAUAGAAGGUUUAUCAUUAGAGUUAGAGGAUGGAUUCUUAGUUCACUUGUAAUAUGUAAACAUUCUCAAAUCAUAGUGAAAAUAUUCGUAGAUCUCCCGUGGAUGUAGGUCUUAAUGACCGAACCACGUAAAUUAUUGUGUCAUUUAUCGUUUUAUAGAUAGGUGUUGAUUUUUAAACUUAUCGUUUAUCGUCUGUAGGAAAUUGAGCUAAGGCGUGAGUAUUUUAUUAUUUCCCGGUUACUAUUCAUAAAAAAAAAUCAGAAAUCCUUUUUCCGGCGACAAUGGCUGAUGCAUCUCAAUUUCAGUUUUCUUUCCCAAAAUAGCUGUCUCUCUCUCCUGCAUCCAUCGAUCUAUCAUUAUUCUCACAAAUCUGAAAUUCUCGCCGACAAUCUUUGGUGAAAAAUUGAAACUCAAUUCCCAGCAAAACACUCGGUUCUGUCAAAAAUUCGGCAACACCCGCCGCCACCUCCUUAUCUGAACUCCGGACGAGGCCGGCGCCUCGUCCGGUCAGCGAUGCCUUCGCAUGACUCACCAUUUCUAUCUCUCUCUCUCAUACACAACAGAACAAGCUCCCAAACAGAUUCGAACAACGCCGCCGCCUUAUCCGGCGAAAAUCGGUGCCGCGGAGAAUCACCAUCCACCGUCGUGCCCUAAGGGUCCCCAGUUCUAACCUCCAAUCGAAUAUCAAAGAGCAAGAAAAUCAAAUCCCCAAAAAUCGACCAAAAUCAGAUCCACAAUCUCCAUCAUCCCAAAUUUCGAGAGAUCUCAUGUGAAAAUUGAUCGGUGAAAGGAGAAGAAGUUCAGCUAAAUUUCGAAUAAGAGUGCUGCACUAGCGCCACCUCGAAGUUACGGCGAUUUCACCGACACACCGCCUCGCGCUGUGCAGCGCCAUCGUGGAUCAGGGGCGUGACUCACUGGAUCUCCCAAAUUCACGGCCGAGCCUUCAACUUUCACUCAACAAUUUUUUCUGUAUUUCUUAUUUUCUUGCAACUUGAGACAUACAUCGUAACUAACAGAUAGCUCUCCAUGUCCCAUAUUCAUUUUUACUUGAUCAUUGCUCGCCUCGGCGACGUUCGAGGCUUGCAAUGAAAGAGCCAUUUUCUUGGAAGUCCUUCUCAAAAUGAAACAUACUGGUGCCAUUGAUAAGAUAAGGGCUGGGUUUACUGCUCUUUAUAGCCGCCUGCUUUGCUCAAACGACUCUAGUGGGAAGAGGAAAUAUUUUGUCUGUGCAUGCCAAACAUGGAAGGGAAGGUGCAUGCUGGUGUAGUGCGUCGAACUCGGGCUCCCCCAAUUCAUCACACACAAGGACGUUCAACGUCUUAGGCGGGCAGCGGUGAAGGGGUCAGAAAGUCAGACCGCAACGGAAGCAGGUACCAGCGGCCAAAUGUUUUUGAAUCUCUGAUUGCGGCAGUUGGCGAAAGUUUUUGGCCUUGCUUAAAGGUAGUGAGGCGGCAGAAACCGUGGAGUCGGAAGAGUAGGUAGCUGUGGCUGUUGGUUGGCCGGCUGUGAGAGGGGUAACAUGGUGGAAAAACACGGUAGGGGUACUAGGACGGGCAGCACGGCGCGCUGCGCUGACCGCAGAGGUGUAGUAAGUGAGAGCGUUAUCCUGUAUCUGCUCUCGCACCGAACGCUUGAGACCACCGAGGAAAUAUCCUAAGCACUGGUCAUCCGAAAGGGGAGGCAGAUGGGCCACGCGGCUUUCGAAAGCAGCGAUGUAAUCCUCCAGAGAUCCUGUUUGAUGUAAUAGAAACAAGGCCUCGUAGGUGUUGAGCGUGGAGGCAUCGCCAAAAUGCGCCAAUAAGGCUUGGGUGAAUUGUGGCCAUGCCGGGUUGGGGUUACGACGCAGGAGUAGUUGUAACCAGGAAAUAGCUGCGCCAGACAUGCCGAUAAUAGCAAGCUGCAGCUUCAUGGCCGGGAGAAUGCGAUGGACGAGAAAAUAUUGGUUGGCUCGAGCAAUCCAGCCCACGAGAUCAGAUCCAUCGAACCCGGGUAAGUCAGAUUUUUGAAUCGGAAUAGUGGUGGGGUUGGUGUUGUCGGGAACGAACGGCUGUUUCCUAGUGGAAGAGUCGUCGGGAUCAUCUGGAACGAAGGGUUGUUUCCAGAGGAAGAGACGGCGGCCAAUAUGGCUGCAAGUUGAGUUUCCAUGGCAGAACGGUUAGCGUCGACUGCUUUGGUGAGGGAGGUCAGCGAUGUCUGCAACUCUAACACCACCUUCUCUAAAUAAUCCAGUCGAGACUCGGUGCUGCGCGUCGUAGCAACCAUGGCAGGUCGAACCAAUUGAUAGAGUAAAGGUGGAGAACGAGAACUGAACGGUAAUAUUAUAAAUGAUAGAAAUUAAAAGAAA
Salvia miltiorrhiza (redroot sage) is the source of this 2713-nucleotide long non-coding RNA. RefSeq lists it as uncharacterized. The transcript is spliced from 2 exons. NCBI's taxonomy places the organism in Eukaryota, Viridiplantae, Streptophyta, Magnoliopsida, Lamiales, Lamiaceae. The record is from RefSeq and is a predicted model, not a curated record.